Long non-coding RNA from Oxyura jamaicensis (ruddy duck), 518 nucleotides. RefSeq lists it as uncharacterized. NCBI's taxonomy places the organism in Eukaryota, Metazoa, Chordata, Aves, Anseriformes, Anatidae. The record is from RefSeq and is a predicted model, not a curated record. The transcript is spliced from 4 exons.
CUGCACUGGGUGCCUUGGCACAGGCUCUGUGGAACCACAACGUCAGGUUCUUUCCCAGCAAAACCCAAAGCAAAUAGCUUCACAUCUAGGAUGAACUUGACCUUUCAUUCUUAAUAGCUCCAAAGGCAAAAGAUCAGAGAAGAAUAUGUCAAUACUCUUGACUGUAUUGAUGUUUGGUUGUGCACAUGCCUUUCAUUUUAGUUCCUCGCCCUGAAGCUUUCUCAGCUGGGAUGUUUGAACUUUCAAUAAACUCAUGCUCUGGAGAAACAAGUUUGGUUUCCUGGAGGUGAAGAGAGUAAAGGAAUAAAAUAAAAGAAUGCAACCCAGCAAUGCCAUCAGGUAACCCUGAGCAAGGGGCAGGGAGGGCAUCGAUGCAGACUUGCCUGGCCUUCCUUUACCACACAUGCAGCCAGACGGCGCCCCGAGCACUGCUGUGUGCUAUCCCAGUGGGGAACAGUAGUUUAGUAGUUGAAAUUAGGUUCAAAUGGCAGGUUCAUUAAGUAAUCAAUAAUAAAAAA